GAUGAAGAACGUAGUAAAAUGCGAUAAGUAAUGUGAAUUGCAGAAUUCAGUGAAUCAUCGAAUCUUUGAACGCACAUUGCGCCCGCCAGUAUUCUGGCGGGCAUGCCUGUUCGAGCGUCAUUUCAACCCUCAAGCACAGCUUGGUGUUGGGACUCGCGUUAAUUCGCGUUCCCCAAAUUGAUUGGCGGUCACGUCGAGCUUCCAUAGCGUAGUAGUAAAACCCUCGUUACUGGUAAUCGUCGCGGCCACGCCGUUAAACCCCAACUCCUGAAUGUUGACCUCGGAUCAGGUAGGAAUACCCGCUGAACUUAAGCAUAUCAAUAAGCGGAGGA
RNAcentral lists this unclassified non-coding RNA (332 nucleotides) under soil metagenome. RNAcentral's name for it is "partial contains 5.8S ribosomal RNA, internal transcribed spacer 2, and large subunit ribosomal RNA". The stretch from base 1 to 120 matches the Rfam family "5.8S ribosomal RNA", at positions 35 to 154 of the family's 154-position model. The record is from RNAcentral.